UUUGACACAUUAAAAUCUAUAAUUAUAUAAAUUGAUUCAUGCCUAAAAAUAGACAAAUCAUGGAAACUACAAAUACUGUUAUAUAGUCUGUAUAGAUAUAUAAAACGGAUAUCGGAAUUAAGAGAACUGAUCAAAAUUGUUCCUUGUUCCAAAGAAUAUUUUAUUUAUUUUUUAUAGCUCUUUGCUUGUUCUGAGACGUAGUUUUUACAUAAAAUGGAAAAUAAUCCAGGAAACGAAACCGAAACAAACAACAUAUGUUGUGGUGUUGGUAAACUUGGCAUUAGUGAAGGUGCAUGUGUUGAUUGUGGAACGAAAGAUAAUUCCGAGGGAUGUAAAAAUGAAAAUAAAAAUGACCGUGACAAUACAGGCAUUACACGAGAGGACAUAACUUUGCCAGAAUGUUUCAAGGGAAAACUGGCUUUCGUUUUACGUAAUGUAUUUUCUGACAAGGAAUGCAAAGACUAUAUAAAGAAAACAGAGAAGAUGGGAUAUGAAGACGCCCUUGUAAAUGUUGGAGGCGGAAGACAGCGUAUGAUGAAAGAUGUGAGGAACAACACGAGAUGUAUCUGGGAUUCAUUUGAAGAAGCUGACAGAAUCUGGCAAAGAAUCAAAAAAUAUAUUCCAGAAACUUGGGAAAGCAGAAAAGUAAUGGCAUUAAAUGAAAGAUUAAGGUUUUUGAAAUACGAUCCGGGCGAGUACUUCGCUCCCCACAUGGACGGCAUGUAUAUAAGACCAAAUGGAGAAAAGAGCUAUAUUACCAUACAGUUAUAUCUGAACGAGGUAGGUGAUGAUGACUCGAUGUGCAGAACACAUGAACCAGGUCGGUAAGUGAAAGACCACAAAUGGAUCUCAGCGGUCAAAUUUGCCGUUCAUACUUCGUGUCCGGAGCAUAACAACCAUUCAAGGAAUUGAGUUCAAUCUUGGCAUAUGGGUAGGUUGCGAUGAGACAACUUGCAGAGUGCAUGAACCAGAUAGGUCAAAGUUCAAAAUCACAAAAAGGUCAAAUCCAUCCAUCAUAGUUUGCGUCCAAAGCAUAACUUAAUAGCCAUUCAAGAUGUCGGCUUCAAACUUGACAUUAUAGGUAGGAGGCGACGAGACGAUGUGCAGAGUGCAUGAACUUGGUCGGGGUUUGAAGGUGGUAGCACAACCUUCAUGAAUUUUGCCGAAAAGGAAAGAGUAGAAGUUGUCCCGGAAACAG
This is an RNA transcript of Mercenaria mercenaria, 1198 nucleotides long. RefSeq lists it as uncharacterized. The record is from RefSeq and is a predicted model, not a curated record. The transcript has 6 exons. Lineage: Eukaryota; Metazoa; Mollusca; Bivalvia; Venerida; Veneridae.